RNAcentral lists this non-coding RNA (84 nucleotides) under Spodoptera frugiperda (fall armyworm). The record is from RNAcentral. Lineage: Eukaryota; Metazoa; Arthropoda; Insecta; Lepidoptera; Noctuidae.
AUUCUGUCAAUUUGCCCAUUGGAUUUCCUACUUUAUAUCAGAAUAGUAAGGUUUGAUUUCUAAUGAUGAGGAUUGACAGAUUGG